GAUGAACGCUGGCGGCGUGCUUAACACAUGCAAGUCGAACGAUGAAGCCCAGCUUGCUGGGUGGGUUAGUGGCGAACGGGUGAGUAACACGUGAGUAACCUGCCCUUAACUCUGGGAUAAGCCUGGGAAACUGGGUCUAAUACCGGAUAGGAGCGUCCACCGCAUGGUGGGUGUUGGAAAGAUUUAUCGGUUUUGGAUGGACUCGCGGCCUAUCAGCUUGUUGGUGAGGUAAUGGCUCACCAAGGCGACGACGGGUAGCCGGCCUGAGAGGGUGACCGGCCACACUGGGACUGAGACACAGCCCAGACUCCUACGGGAGGCAGCAGUGGGGAAUAUUGCACAAUGGGCGCAAGCCUGAUGCAGCGACGCCGCGUGAGGGAUGACGGCCUUCGGGUUGUAAACCUCUUUCAGUAGGGAAGAAGCGAAAGUGACGGUACCUGCAGAAGAAGCACCGGCUAACUACGUG
This 466-nucleotide ribosomal RNA is filed under the name uncultured bacterium. RNAcentral describes it as "partial 16S ribosomal RNA". It matches the Rfam family "Bacterial small subunit ribosomal RNA", at positions 28 to 507 of the family's 1533-position model. The record is from RNAcentral.